Molecule: ribosomal RNA, 1132 nt
Filed under: 'Catharanthus roseus' phytoplasma
Lineage: Bacteria; Bacillati; Mycoplasmatota; Mollicutes; Acholeplasmatales; Acholeplasmataceae
Description: bacterial SSU rRNA
Rfam family: Bacterial small subunit ribosomal RNA
Source: RNAcentral
GACUGGAUAGGAGACAAGAGGGCAUCUUCUUGUUUUUAAAGACCUAGCAAUAGGUAUGCUUAGGGAGGAGCUUGCGUCACAUUAGUUAGUUGGUGGGGUAAAGGCCUACCAAGACUAUGAUGUGUAGCCGGGCUGAGAGGUUGAACGGCCACAUUGGGACUGAGACACGGCCCAAACUCCUACGGGAGGCAGCAGUAGGGAAUUUUCGGCAAUGGAGGAAACUCUGACCGAGCAACGCCGCGUGAACGAUGAAGUAUUUCGGUACGUAAAGUUCUUUUAUUAGGGAAGAAUAAAUGAUGGAAAAAUCAUUCUGACGGUACCUAAUGAAUAAGCCCCGGCUAACUAUGUGCCAGCAGCCGCGGUAAUACAUAGGGGGCAAGCGUUAUCCGGAAUUAUUGGGCGUAAAGGGUGCGUAGGCGGUUAAAUAAGUUUAUGGUCUAAGUGCAAUGCUCAACAUUGUGAUGCUAUAAAAACUGUUUAGCUAGAGUAAGAUAGAGGCAAGUGGAAUUCCAUGUGUAGUGGUAAAAUGCGUAAAUAUAUGGAGGAACACCAGUAGCGAAGGCGGCUUGCUGGGUCUUUACUGACGCUGAGGCACGAAAGCGUGGGGAGCAAACAGGAUUAGAUACCCUGGUAGUCCACGCCGUAAACGAUGAGUACUAAACGUUGGGUAAAACCAGUGUUGAAGUUAACACAUUAAGUACUCCGCCUGAGUAGUACGUACGCAAGUAUGAAACUUAAAGGAAUUGACGGGACUCCGCACAAGCGGUGGAUCAUGUUGUUUAAUUCGAAGGUACCCGAAAAACCUCACCAGGUCUUGACAUGCUUCUGCAAAGCUGUAGAAACACAGUGGAGGUUAUCAGUUGCACAGGUGGUGCAUGGUUGUCGUCAGCUCGUGUCGUGAGAUGUUGGGUUAAGUCCCGCAACGAGCGCAACCCUUAUUGUUAGUUACCAGCACGUAAUGGUGGGGACUUUAGCAAGACUGCCAGUGAUAAAUUGGAGGAAGGUGGGGACGACGUCAAAUCAUCAUGCCCCUUAUGACCUGGGCUACAAACGUGAUACAAUGGCUGUUACAAAGGGUAGCUGAAGCGCAAGUUUUUGGCGAAUCUCAAAAAAACAGUCUCAGUUCGGAUUG